GAAUAUUGGACAAUGGGGGCAACCCUGAUCCAUUAAUGCCGCGUGUGUGAAGAAGGCCUGCGGGUUGUAAAGCACUUUCAGUAGAGAAGAAAAGCCUGGCGUUAAUACCGCCGGGUCUUGACGUAACCUACAGAAGAAGCACCGGCUAACUCCGUGCCAGCAGCCGCGGUAAUACGGAGGGUGCGAGCGUUAAUCGGAAUUACUGGGCGUAAAGCGCGCGUAGGCGGUUUGGUAAGUCGGAUGUGAAAGCCCUGGGCUCAACCUGGGAAUUGCAUUCGAUACUGCCUGACUAGAGUACGGUAGAGGGAAGUGGAAUUUCCGGUGUAGCGGUGAAAUGCGUAGAUAUCUGAAGGAACACCAGU
This 362-nucleotide ribosomal RNA is filed under the name uncultured Methylobacter sp. RNAcentral describes it as "bacterial SSU rRNA". It matches the Rfam family "Bacterial small subunit ribosomal RNA", at positions 359 to 713 of the family's 1533-position model. Lineage: Bacteria; Pseudomonadati; Pseudomonadota; Gammaproteobacteria; Methylococcales; Methylococcaceae. The record is from RNAcentral.